Molecule: long non-coding RNA, 423 nt
Filed under: Lynx pardinus (Iberian lynx)
Lineage: Eukaryota; Metazoa; Chordata; Mammalia; Carnivora; Felidae
Source: RNAcentral
GUGACGGAGGCCAAUACUUUGCCAAACCACGUAACCAGGUGGCUAUGCGGUUCCAGGAGCAGCAGUAGCUAUGGAAGCGGGUAGAAGGUUUUAAUUACUGUCAGGAAACAAAGCUUAGCAGGAGAGAAGAGCCAGAGAAGUGACAGGGAAGCUACAGGUUACAACACUUUUGUGAACUCAGCCAAGCACAGUGGGGGCAGGGCCUAAUUGCUACAAAGAAGACAUGUUUUAGACAAUACUCAUGUUCAUGGGCAGAAAACUCAAGGACUGUAUUCAUGACUAAUUGUACAACAGGUUAUUUUAGUUUCCAUUCUGUGAAAAGUGUAAAGCAUUCCAACAAAGCGUUUUAAUAUAGAUUUUUUUUUCACUCAUGCUGUUGAUUGCUAGAUGGAAUAGUCUGAUCACAACACUGUGUCUUUUUAU